Molecule: ribosomal RNA, 492 nt
Filed under: uncultured bacterium
Lineage: Bacteria
Description: bacterial SSU rRNA
Rfam family: Bacterial small subunit ribosomal RNA
Source: RNAcentral
AACGCUAGCGGCAGGCUUAAUACAUGCAAGUCGAGGGGCAUCAAGGUACACGAAAGUGUAUUGUUGGCGACCGGCGGACGGGUGAGUAAUAGGUAGGUAACCUACCUCAUACUGAGGCAUAGCUGGGAGAAAUUCCAGGUAAUUCCUCAUGAGGUUAUAUGACACAUGUGAUAUAAUCAAAGGUAUCGCAAGGUACUGGUAUGAGAUGGGCUUACUGACCAUUAGCUAGUUGGUGAGAUAAGAGCUCACCAAGGCGAAGAUGGUUAGGGGUUUUGAGAGAGAGAUCCCCCACAUUGGAACUGAGAUACGGUCUAGACUCCUACGGGAGGCAGCAGUAGGGAAUAUUGGGCAAUGGGCGGAAGCCUGACCCAGCCAUGCCGCGUGAAGGAAGACGGCCUUAUGGGUUGUAAACUUCUUUACUAUGCGACUAACUAGAUUUACGAGAUAAUUCUAUAGAAUGUAGCAUAGCAAAAAGCACCGGCUAACUCCGUG